This 39590-nucleotide long non-coding RNA is filed under the name Sorghum bicolor (sorghum). RNAcentral's name for it is "long non-coding RNA (SBIC_LNC001388)". The record is from RNAcentral. Lineage: Eukaryota; Viridiplantae; Streptophyta; Magnoliopsida; Poales; Poaceae.
GCUGUUUAUAUUACCCGUCCACUUGUCCGCUUCAUUUAAUUCAAAUCGGUCAACUGUAUUAGUAGCUAGCUAGCAGAGUGUAUCUUUUUUCCCCUCGAAUCGAAGUUAAUAGCGACAAUUUUUAAUUUGGUGCGUAUGUAUCAGUGCCCACGCUAGUGGAAUUGUUGAGGUCAAACGGAAGCAUCUUUUCACGUUCUCUUACUUUUGAUCUAAAUAACAAUACAGAUCAGGUGCACCGCUAAAAACAACCCAGCCUGCUCCGGCGAGGUGAAGACGGUGAUGAUCACGGACAUGAACUACUACCCGGUGGCGAGGUACCACUUCGACCUGAGCGGCACGGCGUUCGGGUCCAUGGCGAGGCCGGGGCUCAACGACAAGCUCCGGCACGCGGGCAUCAUCGACAUCCAGUUCAGGAGGGUGGCCUGCAACAACCGGGGGCUCACCGUCAACUUCCACGUGCAGGCCGGCUCCAACCCCAACUACCUGGCGGUGCUGGUGGAGUACGCCAACAAGGCCGGCACCGUGGUGCAGAUGGACGCCAUGGAGGCCAACUCCGGCCACUGGAUGCCCAUGCGCCGCUCCUGGGGGUCCGUCUGGCGGCUCGACUCCUACCGCGCGCUCAGGGGCCCCUUCUCCAUGCGCAUCCGCAGCGAGAACGGCAGGACGCUGGUGGCCAACAAUGUCAUCCCGGCAAACUGGAGGGCCAACACCGACUACCGCUCCUACGUCCAGUUCACUUAAGCGACCACAUAAUUAUUAACCCAUCAUCAUCACUGGUAUAUAUGAUUAAUCAUAUACAAGGUGGUGCUAAGGUUGGUUAUUUAUUUGGGAGUAGUAGAGUGUAUUGUGUGAUUAUUGCAAAUUCUUUUUGGUUUUUGCAAUGGGUUCGGCGAGUUUUUCCGUGUUGUCAUUGUGUGUAUCUGAGGCGCGUCGGAAAUGGAGGAGGCAAAGUGUUAUACAUACAUGUUGUCUCCCGCCUACCGUCCAAACUCCAAUGUUUGUACAACAAGUAGGUACGGUGCAUACAAUGUGUGACCAAAUCAGGGGGGCUAUGUAUGCAUCAAGUCAUGGUCAGCAAAUACAUUUCUGAUUAUUCCAGUAUAUGUGUAUUUUUUUUAAAAAAAAAAUCCAAGGCCAUUACGUCGUCCCAGCUUAUAUUGAAAACUUAUAUGAGUGUACGAUGACUGGGUAUACCAGUUUGACGAUAAUGAUACAUCAAGCGCAGCUAAACGUGUGGAAACAUCAAUUCUACCUCUACUCAACAAUAAUAAAACAUCUAGAGGCCACCCAUUGCAACAAAAAAAUAAAAGGCUAAACUCAGAUGAGAUAAAAGGUUAUCCCCCACCCCCAGGUUUUAAACCAAUAAAAAACUUGACGCAUUUAGAUUUCCUUCACCUCAUCAACAACUCGCAUUACGAAUUUAGGAUCUCCUCCACCAGUGCAGCUUUUUUUAUCCUUCAAGGCCACCCUACAUUGAUUGAUCAUCAUCUUGCCCUGAAAUCGCCUCCCUGGGUACUUGAGCAGCUUGUCCUCCAAAGGUCACAUCGUUCCUCAUCUUCGAGAGCGCCCAUAUCAUACCUCCACAACAAAUAAAGUAAUUUUCCAUUAAGGAUUUCCGUUUUAGAGUCGGUUCCGUUAAGAAAACCACAUCUAAAUAUGUUAUUUUCAAGGACUGUUGGUUAUGUCAACUGUCCCUAGCUAAAAAUGAGUAAUUUUUAGAGGCGGUUCUUUUAAGACAACUACAACUAAAAAUCAAUUUUCAAAGACAGUUAACUAAGUCAACCAUCCUUAAAAAUAGCAGCCGCACAAAUAAAUUCAUAUCUUUUUAAAAUGAAGUCAAAUGAAUACAAAAUUUAUAUCAAAAUUAUAGAGCUUGACGAGAUCUAAAACUUUGUAGACGAUAAAAUUUUUGUUUCAGAGCACUUAUGGUUCCAAAAUUUUAAAUUAAGUCUCAGAGUUUUUCAUUUUAAUUUUUAAAAUGUUUCAAACGACCUUGGAUGGGGAAAUGUCCUAUAUGAAACUCUCAAUGAGAUUUUUAAAACUUUAUAGUUGAAAAUUUUCCCAUUUAAGGUUGUUUAAUAGCCUAAAUAUUGAUUACAAGAUCCAUACGUAUUAGUACAAAUGGAUAGCAAUGUAUAUCUCGACAUAAGUGACUAUGAAUGAACCAUGUAAGGUUACGAGUUUAAAUCCUAAUUCUUGCACUAUAUCAUAAGAUGGUGAAAAUCAAAUUCAAUAAGUGGUUGGUUGGUCUUCUUGGCCUUUAGCCACACUAAAUAUUUUUUCUUAUUUUUAUUAUACUCUAAAUGGUUUUAAAAAUUCUAAAAAUUAGUUUUAGGGAUGGUUGAGUUAAGUCAACCAUCUCUGAAAAUUGAUUUUUAGGAGUGUUUGUCUUAAGAGAACCGUCUCUCAAAAUCACUUAUUUUUACAAUUGGUGGCAUUGUACGGUUUUUAAACCGCUUCUGAAAAUCGAUUUUAACUACCUCUAAAAGUCUUUUUUUACUAGUGAUUAUUACUCUCUAUACAAUCCGGUAGACCAUGCUAGUAUUGUGAUCCGCUUCUAGAUUUGACUUGGAAGGUAUUAUUUCCUAGGUAUUCAUUCCUUAGCUAAUUGCAUAUACAUGGUUAUUCUCUCCUCUUUCCAAUCUAUCAAUCCAUUUGAAGAGAAGACAAAUAUUCAUCUCCCUCACAUCUAUGAAACUAGUCCUACAAAAUCAUUUGGUUUAUCCAAUGCAUCCCACUUAACCAUAUGGUACUUCUUUUUUCCCAUAUCAUUGCCAAAAGAACUGAGAUCUAGCUGAAUGUAAUUGUUGAUAUGGCCCCCUUCAUACAAUUGAUACACACCCAUUGCAUACAUAGACACACUUGACGGGUAUGAUUCAAUUAGUAUCGUCUUCUCUCUUGAAGAUAGAGUGUCGCCUUUCCAGGUUCCCAACAUUUUAAAGAUUUGCUCAUUUACACAAUUUAAUUGGGCCUUAGUAAGUUUAACACAUUGCUCAUUUGGAGCCCCAAGUAUUUGAUAGGUAAUUGGGGAAGAUUUGUUGUUUAGAAGAUUCACCACUCUAGUUUGUUCCUCAACUUCCACUCCCAUCCCACACUUUACUUUUUUCAUAGUUCAUCUGCAUACCUAACAUUGUUUUGUAACACAUCAAAAUUCUAAUGUCAUUGUCUGUUAGUUCCCAAAAAAUUGUAUCAUCGGUGUAUUGAAAAUGUGUGAGACCAAGUGUGAGACCAGACCUGUUAAAUGCCCAUUCCUUUGUGCACUAGACAACAUAACAGAUAUGGCAUCACUGACUAAAUUGAACAAUAGAGGUGAUAAGGAAUCACCCUAUCCUAUUUUAUGGCUUCUAAAGUGGUAGAUGCAGAUUCAUGCAAGAUACUUAUACCUAGAAAACUCAUUUUGGUUCAUUUGACGAUGUUGACAACCAAGCUUGUUGUGGUGACGUUGCAUCUAACCUCUUUAUUGUUCAUUGCACACUCCCUCGCUCGCAUGCUCAACACUACAUGCAUGCUCUACCAUAGAUGUGAACUCCUUAAAAAACAAGAUUAUUUUGUGAUAGAUAUAGUAAUAGUUAACCAAAAACCUUAAGAUCAUAUAAGAGGUCAAAAACACACUAUUAACAAAUAUUUUGUAGGUGAAGGAAAGAAAUCUAGCCUCUAAAAAUUCAUAAUAAACACCAUUGCUUUUUUCUGUGCUGAGAAAAAAGGCAUCUGGACUACCCACUUUUGCACCGACAGUUUCUCCUCCCAUUCUACGCUUUCAUACCUCAUCGAUAGGGCAAAGAAGCAUGCAACCAGGUUCUUUUAAUAGUCACCUAACACAUCAAGUGACCUAUCAACCAUGCCAAAGGUGUUUUGGCCUUCUUCGUUUGUCUCAAUCUUGAAUCAUUGUGUUUUAGUGCUAUAUUGUAGCAACAAGUCACGUUAAUAGGGUCGGGUGGUCUCCUAACCACAUUCAUGGAAGAUGAUCUUUGCACCUACUAUAAUCUUUCUUCCUUGACCAUGCUAUUGAGGAAAGGUCAUUAUACAAACCUAGCCUUGUCUUAUUGUCCUCCUCACACUUAUACUAUUAAUAUAUCUUUGUGGUGUUGAUUAUUUAUUUGUAUCCUUCAUGUUGCAUCUUGUUACGAAUUUAACCUUAUUUGGAUUAGUUGGUAAUAUUUAGAUACUUGAAAAUUUAAUGUCAUAAUCUUAAAAUUGAUUCUAUUUUAAAGUUCCAAAACUACAGAAUACUUCAAAGUGAAAUAGUACAACAAUGUAAUGUGUGACACGCCACCCUCUAGAGGAACAAUUUGCAUACAUGUGUGCACAUUUUAGGAUCAAUUUGUACGUGGGAGUCUUGCAUUUCCUUACUGACGGAUAUAUGCCUAUGUAAUUUACAUCUUCUACUUCUCUAAUCUGUAUAAUGUCAUCAAUAUGUAAUAGAGUAUAAGUCCCACAACCAAACAUUAAAAUGAUGAAAUAAUAUAAAAAUAGGGCAAGUAAUAAAAUCCAGUGCAUAGCUGAGAAUAAAUAAAUAAGCUCAAUGUAAUGUUGAUUUUGACAUACCCGAUACACCAUACUAAGUAAAAUGCUACAAUGAAACAAGACACAUACAUUUGAAAGUACCACGCAUAUUUCAUGAUAACAAAGUUGCUCACACUCUAGCAUAAGAGAAUACUAUGAUGCUUAACUGACAUAUAUAGGAUGAACUAAUAGGCCACCAUGCAACGUGGCGUACUAGAUGGUGAUAAAACCUAGUUCAUGUCCAUGUUCAUCAUCCACUGAGUAUCAAGAAGAUCUCCCAGCUUAUCACUAGUCCAGUCCAAGUGGCCCCUAUCUGCCUCCAUGGUCGGAGCCACUAAAGAACUACUAGUUCCCAUUUGCUCUUGUUGUUGGCCAAUAGCCAAGGUGGGCAUCUGGAUAUUGUUACUACUUCCAUGGCCAGUGUGGUAUUGGACUGAUGACCAAGCAUGGGCAUUGUUUAUGGAAGUAGGAUGUCCACAAAAGCUAUAGUGAUUUGUGUUGUAGACACCUCCACCAGAGGUGGCCCCCUCCCAGGCAGAAGCAUUUGUUUGCGGCAAGGGCUCAAAAUCAUAAAGUCCAAUGUCAUUGAUGCUAUAACGCUGCUUCUUGGUGCCAUUUUCUUUCCUAAGGAAGUACUUUUGUGCAUGGCUAGAAACCUGCACUGGUGUCUUGGAGGUAACAAAGUGCCUAGAGAUGUUCUUCCAAUUUCCGCGCCCGUACACAUGUAGACCACGGAGGAAUUGCCUACAAUGAGGUAGAGUUUGAAGUGAACUAAUUAGAUAUAAGUUUAGGUUCCAUUUCCCCAUAUAUUCAAGAUUCUUUGAAGAAAAAUAAUAUAUAAACACUUCAUCAUCAUAAUAAUACCUCAUAACCUAUGCUUAAUAAGGGUACUAAAACUUCAUGUGACAAGCAUUAUAAUCUAUAUGAGAUGCUUUAGGGAUCUAGCAAAUAACUAACCUAUGCUCGUCUGUGGUCCAAAACCUCCUAUUGUGCUGGCUCUCCUUUCGAGGAGUGGGCUUCCUCCGUGGAGUCUCCUUUACAUUCCUUGUGCUGAACAUCUCUUUUUGAUAACCACCAAAUGCUUCCAUGUUGCCCAUGGAUAGACCCCCCACAAACACCCCAAAGGGUUGAUUCAUGAGGUUGCUACUUGCUUCCACAUGUUGGUUGCCACUCUGCAAUGUUUGCAUCACCACCACUAUGACAUCAAUAUACAAGUCAGUUACUUGAUGCUUCUCCUUGCUAGGGAACAUUACCUGGAGCUCAUCCAUAAUUUGAUUGUGCUUCUUGUUCAUAUCACUAGCACAAUUGUUGUUGGCGUUGUCCACUUCAAUGAGAGAUUUCACCAUGCUGACCUCAGAGGCACUCCACUCUCCCUUGAACUUGGGAUCCAUGUGGUUGAGUACUAUAUAUGCAACAAUUGGUAGUUUGAGCUAAGAACAAGGGUUGUUGGGUUGUGGAGAUCGGCAAACACCAAGACUGGUAUUUAUAGGCUUCAUGUGAAUCUUUUUGUCCUAAUUUUAAUUAAUUGGACAAUUGAAUUUGAUAUAUAUUAUAUAGUAUAUCUCUACUUAUGUGACUUUUUUCUCAAAUGCAUUAAUAUUUAGUGCUAGAAAUUUGCUAUAAGCUCCGUAUACAUAUUGUCAACUUGACAACGCCAACAGUUUUCCUAUGUGCGCCCAUGUAUGUAGCCAUUGACGGGGUGACAUGUGUGGUCAUGCAUAGCCAUACCGCCACUAAAGUCAUUCAUAGGCACACAAGAUAGAAUAAUACCAGCAUCUGGUUUAGCUACUAUUAGUUGACUACAUCGUCAAUGGGAAAUUCUAAUGAUUACAAUGCUUCAUCUCACACGAGUGAUAUAUAUUUAUCUAUUAAAAUAUCUUGAUGAGCUACUGCAACAUAAAUGAUCACGAACAUUUCAAAUAUUGUAAUAAUAUAUGGAUAUCUUUUCUUGUGAUAUGGUAUUUAAUAGUUUUGUUCGGUAGAAAUGUACCAAAUGAAUAUCAGUGUAAGUAAUUUUGUUAAUUGAGAGUAUACAACUAAAUUAGUGUGUGCUUGGUUGGGUCUUCCCUGUUUUCUUGAGAAGUUAUUUCGAAUGACCUACGAAGAUAUGAAUUGCAUAUUUUCUUGAUAUGUUCAUGAUUUAUGUAUGCAUGCAAGAUAGAUUUUACUAACUAAUUUGGUAACAAUGUUUCUAUUGCGCCAUAGAUGACUCUUUGUUGAUCAGCCGCAAACCACCCGUGGUCUUUUCAUUAAAGGCUACAAGUGCUCAUAAUAAUUAGUUGACACAAAAGAGCAAGAAUUUGAGUUAACCUCAGUAAAGUGUCUUAAAUAUUCAAAAACCAUUUUAUCCUCAUAUAUUUGCACUUUCAUUUCACCUUGGGUUCAAUGAGCUCACAAACUAAUAGUAUAAAUACAAUAAGUGGAAUAACUAUAUUUAUCUUCAAAAGGAAUAUGUCCAUACAAUGAUAUUCCUAAAUAUAGCAUAUGUAGAUUGAAAUGUGAUAUACUUAAUCAGUGUCCAUGUUACACAUAAACCUACUAGUUUCCUCAAUUUAACAAAAAACAAACAACUUAGACUCAAAGGUAACUAGUCGUGGUUUGUCAAAAAAGAAGCAAGAUAUACGCAUAUAUGUGAUAAAGUUUGACUAACAAAUCAAAAUAAUGUCACAAAAUAGUGCAUAGUUAUGAUAAAAUUUUUGUUUCACCAUGGAUCAAAUUGAUGAUGGACCUUGGGUGUUGACCAUUUACGACGAACUAUGAUGUUACCACAAAUAUUGUCAUUGAACACCACAUAAUAUCGUCAUAGAUUACAUGCGUCGCUCGCAUUACUCAUCAAUAAUGCUUUAUUUUUGAACCAAAAUGAAUACGACUUCGACACUAAACCAAUUACUCAUAUGUGAUGCUCUAUUUUCAAACUCCAUCAUUAAACCAUUUAUAAAGACAAAAGUGUUAAAAUAUCUAUCUUUUUAAUAAUGGUUUCUAGAAACUAAAAGAACGCAAAAGAAUUAAGUGUCUCUUAAGACUUAAAUCAUAACUUUUAGCUCACACAAUGUUUGGCAACCACCUCAGUAUACACUCACUUUUGAGUAUAUAUAUAUGAUGCAAUCUUUUCAUAUGGACAUUUUAUAACAUUAUAUUUGAUAUUUUGACUACUAAAUGAACAUAACUAAAAAUGUUUUAGCUAUAAAAGUUUUAAAUCAGUAGUACAACUUUGAUAUAGGAUGUGUCUCGUCCAAAAUUGUUUGGAAACAUUUAAAACUUGAUUCUCAAAUUGUAUGAAUUUAAAUAAACAUUCAAGACUCCAAGCAACUUCAAAUAAAAACAUAUCAAUAAUAAAAUAAUGGGAUUAAGUUGGCCUCUAAAUUUGGUAUGAACCAUAUGAACAUUCAAGGUUGGUUGAAAACUUAAAAUUUUCUAAUACGUGAACUUAAAAUAAUAUUUGGGACACUAAAUGGUUUCAUAUCAAAAUCUUUUCAACUAAAAAUUUAUAGACUGCGUGAAUACCUACAAUUUUAAUAUAAAGUUUGUCUUCAUUCAACUUUAUAUAGAAAUUUUAUAAAUUAUUUUUAAGCAACUUCAAAAAAAAUUAGAAAAAUGGUAUGCGGCGUGUAAUUGUAGGCCUACCUUGCGAGGCCCAUCAUGCUACGUAUUUGUUGGUCCACCAUAUCAUUUACAUCAAACAUAAAAAACCCCAAAAAUAAGCAUAGAUGUUUCUCAAGGCUAAAUCCUCAACCUUCCACUUACACUACACCUUCAUAUUACUGUACUACACAUUCAUUUAUGAUUAUAUAUAGUAUGCUAUCAUUAUGUAUAAAAAUUUUAUAAUCCUGUAUUGAAUAUUUUAGCUACUCAAUACACCUAAAUGUUUUUUGAUUUAAAUCUACUCAAAUAGUGCAUCUUCGGUCUAAGAUGUGUCUCUAUCCAAUACUGCUUAAAAUUUCAAAAUUUAAAUAUUAAAAUGCGUGAAUGUAAAAUAAAUAUUUGAUAAUCUAAAUAACUUCAUAUAAAAAUCUUAUCAACAACAAACUCAUAGAUUAGGUUGGCCUCUACAACUUUCGGUUUAACCAUGUAAUACCCGAUUUUAAGGACAAAACCAGAUAUGCACCAUAUGUGAGUUUUAGAAGCCAAGACUCACAUAUAGCUACAAAUAAGGGGUAAUAUCAAAAGACAAUGCAUAAUUAUAUAACGUACAUAAUAUAAAAGAGAUAACCUUUAGCAAACAGCGGAUAGACAUCUCCAAACUUCGGGUAUUAACUUCACUCUACAGGAUCCAACUGACUGGUUGAUCACAAGCCUAAACUUCUCCUGAGGUUUGGGGAAAAUAGCAAGAGUGAGUCCAUGUCGAACUCCACAAGUAUAGCAACUAGAUUGUAUAACUUCCACAAUCUCAUGACCAAUGUGACAUAAAUAAUGUAAAGCAUUAAACAAUAAACAAUGAGCAUAUUUAACACACAAGAUUCAUCACCCUUAAUGUAGAUGUCCCCAAGGCCGCUCCUGACCGUGAGCUCGGCUAGUAUACUAGUUUUAACACUCUGCAGAGGUUGUACAUCUUUACCCAUGAGUCAUGAUUUACCCUUUCGCCCGAGGCCCGUCGACCUCUUAACCCACUACCAAGGAAGGUCGGCAGGGAUCACUAUGAAGCCUUUCAAAAGUUCGUCUAACAUGUUAGGGCCGCAAGGUUUCCUUUGCGAGCAGAUAUAGAUACCCCCCUUCCGAAUGGCACAAUGACGCGCAGCCUAUACACAUAGGGACAGGGGCUCGCACUAUACCCGUGUCGGUUCAGCCCCUCUAGCGCCCUUUCGGGUAACCUCUAACAAGCUAGAAAAGGUCUUCAUACUGAGCUAAAGCCAGAGCCAUUAUAGCCCUCAUGGUUGCACUGUUGUCCCGGGUGAUCACGUACAGACAAAUCAUCAAGUGGCUAAAAAGUCAUUUUUAUCAUUUAUUACUUAACAUUAAUCUAGUCACAGGAUCAUGGUCACAGAAAUAAAACCCAAAUGCUAUACUUGCCUUAAUCCAAUUGCUCUUGCUUAUCCUUUUGGUCCUGUUGGUCUCACAUAUCCAAAACUCUGAUCUUGAUCACCAAAAACUGCUCUCCGUCUAAACUCGAUCAUCGAUCACACAAACAAUCGAAGAAAACAUACACGAAGCAAACAAGGCUACAAUUAGAACAGUACACCAAACAUAUAAAAACAGUAUGAAAAGUUUAUAAAAUGAUUCUACGUAUCACUACAAUUUCAUCGACGUAAAGAUCACUUAAAUCGGAUUUGAAACGGAGAAGUUAUGAAUUUUCUAAGAUUUUAUAUAGAAAAGUAAUUAAUUAAAUGGGAUCACGAAAUUAAAAGGUUUCAAACUGAGAAAACAGUGUUACAGAAAACAGUGUUACUAACAUGUAGAGCUCAUGAAAACGAACCUAACGCAAUUUAAACAGUUCAAAUCGGAGAUAAAAUAAGUAUUUUAUGUCUAAGACAAACUAGUGUAUUUUCUUUGUAUUUCUAGAUUUGUUUUUCUAAAGAAAAACGUCCACAAAACAUAGUGAUGUCAUCAUGUGAUCAUCAUGACAUGAGCACAACUGUUGAUUAAUUAAACAAUAGAUAGACAAGAUGAUCUGUAGACUGACCUUAAUUUAAUAUGUAUAAUUGUUGUCAAGGCGACGGUGUUUAAGAAUCAAUCGAUCGUUAGUUGCAUCCGUUGCACUUGAAGUUUCUCGGUAUGCAGAUAGACAUGCAUGGUGGAAGCGAGGUAGCAAAUUGCAGGCUGCGGCUGAUAAAAUCAAGCACUGAAUUGCUCAGGCUAACUAGAUACAGCAGAGAAAGAAAUUGUAACCAUAUAAAUGUUCAGUGCUCACCAAUGCCAAACAAGGAUCGACUGCCAAGGUUAUGCACGGGAUGGUGAAUCAUAGACUGGAUCUCGAUGUCACGACAGACGGUGAUUAGACUUGCGGAUGAGGAACGGCCCACGGUGUUUUCCACAGCGUAGAUGAUCAGGCCCCGGUCAUGAAUUCGGAACAGCUGCCCAACGACCUGGCGUCGGCGAUGGCUGCGGCGAAGUUCGGCAACCAUAGAAUACGAAAGACAAGAAUACAGAAUCGAAUGGUAAAAAGAUCACUUGGAUCAGGAUAAGCCUCACCUCUUCCAGCAAAGAACGACAGCACGCACAUGACUUGGUCAGGGCAGGGCUCAUGGCUCUCAAUCGUUUUAUCCAUGUUUUGCUCGGCAUCGACUUUUCAACGUCGGAAGAACUUUGGCGGCGGCUCGGGAGAAAAUAUUUUAGAUAGCUAGAUUAGAUCAAAGAGAGACACAGGCAUGCACUUAUAACGCUAGGUUAAAACCAAGUUGGAGAAGGACUAUAUUUUAUUAUUUUCGGAAUAUUUAAUUUUAGUUAUAAAGUUAAUUCUUCAAAACCUAGAAUUAUUAUUUAAGCCAAGAAAAAUACUCCAAAAGCUCCAAAAAUUCUGGAAAAAUUAUCAGAGACAUUAUGGAAGACGAAGAACCUAAAUAAAGUAUUUAGAGCUUAUAAUAAGAUAAUUUGGAACAUCUAAAAAUUAGAUUAUGCUCAUGGAAAAGGUCGGAAAAAUUCCCGAGAACUUUGGUAGAGAUUGCUUGAUGGACGAGAAACUGAAAGGAGUAACUUAGGUACGAAAGAAAGGAUUCCGAGAGACCCUGAAUGAAAUCUUGAGCUGAGAGACAAGGAAUUUGAUUGUAGAAAAAAAAAAAUAUGCCCAAGAAGGAAGAUCGAUCUAAUAAACGUAUUUUAAAUAUUUUUCUUACUAUCAACACAUAAAGGAGCAACAAGCAUCACUUCAAAACAUAUGCACCAGCAUGUAUGCAUAAUAAUAUUGCUAUGCCUUAUAAUAAAUUUUAAUUUAAUAAAAAAUAUUAUUUUUCCUAUAUUUUCAUGAGCACAAAAAUACAAAAUUAAAUAAUUUUAUCUAUAUUUCAAAAGGAAUAAAUUUUAGGGUGUUACAAACCAUAUGAACAUUCUAGAUAGCUUGAAAUUUCUAAAUUUUGAAUUUAAAAAUAUAAGUUCUGAAAACAUAUAUUUAGAACUCGAAACAACUUUUCAAGGACAAAGUUGUAAACUAUAUUGAUAACUAGAACUUUCUGUACAGUCCAUGUCUAACAUCCAAGAUUGUUUUAGAUUUCAAAAUGAGUAACUUAAAAUAAUAUUUUAGAACUCUAAAUAAUUUCAAAUCAAAGCCUUCUCAACCGCAAAGUCAUCAAUUGUGUUGAUAGCUGAAAGCCCUAAUUUGGUUUAGUUAAUUGAUGAAACCUAUUGGACUACCCCUAUGUAUAAGUGUGAUUAUGAGAUAGGUUGGUCCAAGUCCAAGUGAUGGAGCUAAAUGGCACUCAAGUGAUAGAGAUGGCCAAAAGAUGGUGACCAAGUGCUCUAACUUAGAAAAGGAGAAAGAGAAAAACAAAAUGGUGGUCAAGGCAAAGGUAUAAAUGCAAUAUAAUGUGUUAUCAGGUUUAGGAUAGAUAGUUGUACUAUUAAGAGGGAAACUGCCAUGGUGAAUAUGGUUUUCUAGUGCCACUAGGUGAAUUAACUCCAUGCAUUUGCAUUAGGACCUAGUGAGUGCUAACAACCCUUGAAAAUAUUUGUGAAAAAUGCUAACUCAUGUAUAAAAGUGUUGGAAACAUUGUGGAGUUAACACAUUUACACAAAAGUGUUUAAGUAUUGGAAGAUUUGGAGUAGCUUUGGGUACAUCAGGCGCAUUGGUGCUAGCACCACACAAAUGAUCUUUGCAUUUGAUGGCUAACCCUAGUGCAUCAGACGAUGUCACUGCAUCAGACAAACAAGUUUGUGUCAGCCUCAUGAAAUAAUUCUUUGGACAACUUUUAGUGAAGACAUUUGACAAAUGACACCAUCUAUCCAUAAGGAGUGUUCAGUAUCACUAUUCAUGCAAAGGGAGUGUGUUUCACUGUGCAUGUUGAACGUUGGGGCUUUGUCUGAUGUGAACCAUCAGAUGUGUCUAGUGUGUUUUGAGUGGCUCUUAAUGCUCUCUGGAAUGCAUCGAACACUGGGUGAUGUUUUGUCUAAUGUGACUGUUGGUAUAAAUUAAAUACACAUAAGAAAAUAAAGUAUCUGCAAGCGCACAAAUAGUAUAUCGAUGUAGCACUUCACCCAGGAGUAUUCCAGAGUAUCAUUAUUUAUAUUUUAUCACAGAGAAGACAUGUGAUACUAACUAAGUCUAUACUUAACCCCUAAGAAAUAUCAAAAAGGACAGGGAUGAUAGAGACAAUAAAGAAGGUCACUAGGGUCAUCUCGUUCUAACCUUAUAAGCUAUAUGUAUAUUACUACUUAGGCUAGGGACAUUACUCAAGAGAAAGCACCAUAUAAGAUAUCUUUAACUUAGCAACUGCGUCCUACAUGCCACUAUAGACGGGAGAUAGACUAUAUAAGAACCAACAAGGCUAUAAAGUCACCCUCAUGAACUACCACUGAUGUGAAAUGUAGGGUGCAUCUAUGAGGAACGAUAGUCUAAGCACCACGCUUAUAUCAUGUAUACUACCCUAAUCUAGGAGCUACUAAGACUAGAGCACUCAAAAGAGAGUCGUAAACCAGAUGAAUAAUAAUAACAAUGAACUUACUUGAAUUAGAAGUUGAACACUAAAAGACUUUUAGAAGCAAGCUCUAGGGCUAGUGGAACUUGAUUCCGUAGGUACAAGCCGAAGAGGUCACCGAUAGGCCGAAGCUGGAGCCCUAACUCUUCUCCAACACUCUAUCUCCCUAUUUCUAAAUAAGACUAGUCCUAAUCUCUUGUGGACUAUAAAACUAAUCCUCUCUCAAUGAUUCUUUUGAUUCUCCAGGAACUCUUGAUGUAGAAGUGGAAUUAGGGUUUCAACCUAGAGAGAAUGCUUUCAUCUGAGGGAGGGGGCUCAGUAUUUAUAGCCGGUGGAAUGAACGUGGGCCUUUGGAUCAAACCAACUUGAACAACAAUGGAGAUUAAGCCUUGAGGUCGGUUGCUACCCUAGCACCUAGGUCGGCUGACCUGGCUCAAUGCCAGGUGGGCCCCCACCUUGCAGGGUCUCGCCUCUGGUGUUAUCUAAAAUCUUCUUCUUUCGGAGUUGCAUUGGGAUAUGCUUUUUACACCGACGUCCACCAUGUCUUCUUUUAUUUUCCUAUUUAAUCUCUAAAAAACAUAGAUAUACCAAAACUUGUGAAAUUCUGUCAGUUUAACCCCUAUCUUAUGCAUAUAUUUUAUUAUGAGCAUCUAUUCAUAUUUAGAUGAUGGUUAAAAGUGACACUUAACAACCGUUAACAAGCUCCCCCACAUAUAGACUUUUAUUCGUCCUCGAGAAAAGGUUGGAUCACUGCAAACAUAACUUUAGGACAAGUUAUCAACAUAAAACUAUUCCUAGUCAAACGUGUAUUGAGAGAUUCAAUGUGUCUAUCAUAAAAUUUUAGGCGGUUGAAAAAUGGAGCAGCUUGAAACAGAUUACCUUUUUUCGGUUACUUACCUUCUCCUCCAUGUAGUACUCUCAAAUCACUUAUAUAUGUCAUACUCUUAGAUCAAGAUGUCCAUGUGUAUAUAUAUAUAUAUAUAUAUAUAUAUAUAUAUAUAUAUAUAUAUAUAUAUAUAUAUAUAUAUAUAUAUAUAUAUAUAUAUAUAUAUAUAUAUAUAGGCUAUCUCCUAAUUCUACUUUGCUCCUGAUAACAUGUCUCCUACUUUGAAAUAUUAAGAAACUUUGCUUAGAGAGUAUGGGCUAUCUCCUAAUUCUACUUUGCUCCUGAUAACAUGUCUCCUACUUUGAAAUAUUAAGAAACUUUGCUUAGAGAGUAUGGGCUAUCUUUUUCUUCUCUCUUUUUCAAUGCUUUUCUUUGGACACUUGUCCCCUUUAUUUAUUUAUUUAAUAUUUUCCUUUUUGCAUAGCCAUAUGCUUUCUUUCUACAACUAGUAAACUUUUGAGAAAGACAAUUACAAAAGCUUGGAACAUUUAUCCCUAACAAAUUUCGUUUUGUGUUUUCUCCCAGUGUAGGAAUAAAACAUUAAGUGGAUGAAAAAAGAUUUUUUUGCGUACUCCUAGUGUAGGAGCAUCAGAUAUAUGUGGGUGUAUGUGAUCUUGAUCUUAGGCGCAUGAUAAACCUCUCCACAUAGGUGAACAAGGUUUACCAAAGCUCAACACAAAACAAGUAGCUUGUGAGCUAGUUUUCAAUAUGUAAAUUAUGUACGGCUCAAGUGGGAUAAAUGUUACUACUAAUGACUAGACAUCAAGAAUUAGGUUCUCAUUAUUCUAGCUAUAUCACAUUUCAUAAUAACUUAAGUGACAAGGGGUAAUUGUCAAAAAAAAGUGACAAGGGGUCCCUAAAAUAAGUUUUCAUCAAUAGCAAGGUUUCCGCGAAAAGUAUUAUGUGGAUCUAUCCUCGAGUCAUGAUAGCAACAUAUUUUAUUUAAUAUUUAUAAUAUUUAUGAAUUUCUAAUUUAAUUCAAAACAUGGAGCAACAUAUAUAGAGAUAGAGUGUGUUUGGUUCAUACCAGACUAUAAUUUUAAUUCUAUUUUUUUUUCAAGUUUUGUAAUCGUUUGUCACGUGGUGGUGCACCUCCCCAACACUUUUCAUGUUAUUCUUCAAGCAUAGCAAAGUGGAGACAAAAGCACAAAUAUCCAAAAAUAAAGAGUAUAAUAAUAAACCAAACUUUAUUUCGCUCUUUGGUCAAAUUGACGACAAAGUGUUGGUUACAUAUACAAUUUUGUGAAGUUUGAGACUUAAGAUUUCCAAUCAAAAGAUGGAAAAGGAUGUUCGGCCAAACAAAACCCGCCCAAAACCUGUAUUUUUAUUGUAAAAAGAAAAAGAAAAAAAAAGCAAAUAAUAAAGAAACCCUCACGACUGACUAGGAGUUCUUCCAGAUCCAGCCCUUGGCUCGCAGUACACCACAGCAGACCCAGAUCUCAACGUGCCCCUUCCCUCAGAUCUCAAUUCCCAAAUGCCCUCGCCGUCGUAGCUGCACCCCGACCCCGCGCGCUCGCUCGGAUCCAUGGGCGGGCUCAGGGCAGCAUCGCCGUCGGGCGCAGGAUCCGGAGCCGUCGCGGGGGCGGGAUCCGAUCACGGGGCGCCGCGACUGGCGAUGGCGUGUGUGCUAGCGUCAGAGGCCGCCACGGUGCUCGCCGUCAUGCGCCGCAACGUCCGCUGGGCGGGCGUCCGCUACGGCGGUGGCGACGGUGGUGCGGGCGACGACGAGCACCUUGACCACCCGCUCGUCGCGGGGCUCAAGGCUCUCCGCCGCCGCGCUGCCGCGUGGGGCCACGGUCGCUGGGCGGGAGUCGAGCCGCUCCUCUACCUCCGACCCUUCCUCGAUGUCGUCCGCUCCGACGAGACUGGGGCGCCCAUCACGGGCGCCGCGCUCUCGUCGUUGCACAAGAUCCUCACCCUUGACCUCGUCGGGCCUGGCGCACCAGCCGCUGCCGAGGCCAUGGCCGCCGUCGUCGACGCCGUCACGGCCUGCCGCUUUGAGGUCACUGACCCGGCGUCUGAGGAGGCCGUCCUGGCAAGGGUCCUGCAAGUGCUGCUUGCCUGCGUGCGCAGCCGUGCAGCACCGGCGCUUGCUAACCGCCAUGUCUGCACGAUCGUCAACACAUGUUUCCGCGUCGUGCAGCAGGCUGGAACCAAGGGGGAGCUACUGCAGCGUGUCUCCCGCCAGACAAUGCAGGAGGUUAUAAGAACUGUCUUUGCCCGCCUGCCGGACAUCCAUGUCACUGUGUUGUCCGACGAGCAGGUAUGAAGCAUUGUUAUACUUGCUAUUACUUUGCUGUGCUGAUGAUCAUGUAAAAUGUUGCUAUACCAUUCCUCCCUCAGCAUAAUAACUCAACUUACUCCUACUAUGCUUGUGUACAUUGGUCUGAAGUGUAAACAAGCGAAAUGAUCUAGGGCCUUUUUUGUACUUAGUUUAACUAAUUGUUGUCAUUUGAGCAAUAUGACCACGGUGCAAAUACUGACAAUCUGACACUAAGAUCAGCUCUUAGUUUGGAAACAAGCUUUUGUUAGUAGGAACUUGGAAGGCUCAUUAUACUAAAUGAAUUUUAUUAAUUUGCUGGUAGCAUUUGUUAUGCAGGUUACUGGUUGCAAGAACCAAAAUUUGGGUGCUGAGGAGACAGAGAACGGGAAGAGUGACUAUGUAUGUUUGAACAGCUCUGGCGAUGAGGUGGGAGAUGGUUCUGGUGUCGUGCCAGACAAAGACUUGAUGGAGCCCUUUGGGGUUCCUUGUAUGGUAGAGAUAUUGCAAUUCUUGUGCUCCCUCUUGAACAUAGCAGAGGACAUUAAGGUGAACCCAAGGAUGAGUCCAAUUGACUUUGAUGAGGAUGUGCCGCUUUUUGCUCUGGGGUUGAUUAAUUCGGCUAUCGAGCUGUCGGCUUCGUCUAUACACAGACAUCAAAAACUUUUAUCAUUUGUACAGGAUGAAUUGUUCCGCAACCUAAUGCAUUUUGGCUUGUCAAUGAGCCCCCUGAUCCUGUCGACAGUGUGCAGCAUAGUUUUUACUCUCUUUUACCAUCUGCGCCAUGAACUUAAGCUGCAAAUAGAGGCUUUCUUCUCAUGUGUUAUCCUAAGAUUAGCACAGAGUAGAUAUGGAGCAAGUUAUCAGCAGCAAGAAGUUGCCCUUGAGGCUCUAAUCGAUUUUUGCCGGCAGAAAGAGUUUAUGGCUGAGAUGUAUGCAAAUAUGGACUGUGAUUUACAGUGCUCAAAUAUUUUUGAAGAGUUAGCUAACCUUCUGUCUAAGAGUGCAUUUCCUGUGAACAGUCCUUUGUCAGCUUUAAAUGUGCUUGCUUUGGAUGGUUUGGUUGCUGUCAUUCAGGCCAUGGCACAGCGGACUGAUAAUGCACCUCAACAUCAUGAUCAAACAGUGCCAGAAAUAAGUGAAUAUUUUCCUUUCUGGCAGUUGAAGUGUGAGAGCAGUAAUGAUCCUGAUCAGUGGGUUAAAUUUGUCCACCAGCAAAAAAGCAUCAAGAGAAAGCUAAUGGUUGGUGUUGAACAUUUUAAUAGGGACAAAAAGAAGGGUUUUGAGUACCUACAAGGCGUUCAUCUUUUGCCUGAAAAACUUGAUCCACACAAUGUUGCUCUGUUCUUCAGGUACACACCUGGGUUGGACAAGAAUCUUCUUGGGGAUUACCUGGGUAAUCAUGAUGAAUUCUCUAUCCGGGUCCUUCAUGAAUUUGCUAGAACCUUUGACUUUAAGGAUAUGAAUUUGGAUGCUGCCUUAAGGCUCUUCUUGGAAACUUUCCGGUUGCCUGGUGAGUCACAGAAGAUACAGAGAAUUCUUGAGGCCUUUUCUGAGCGAUAUUAUGAACAGUCACCACAAAUGUUUGUUAAUAGAGAUGCAGCUCUGGUGUUGUCAUAUUCUGUAAUCAUGCUCAAUACUGAUCAGCACAAUGUAAGGGUUAAGAAGAAGAUGACUGAGGAAGACUUUAUUAGGAACAAUCGCCGUAUAAAUGGAGGAAACGAUCUGCCAAGAGAAUUCUUGUCAGAGCUUUAUUAUUCUAUUUGCCGGAAUGAAAUCAGAACUAUUCCUGAGCAAGGAGCUGGGUGUUCUGAGAUGUCUUUCAGUCGUUGGGUUGAUCUAAUGUGGAGGUCAAAGAGAACAUCAAUGUACAUUGCUUGUGACUCCUACCCUUUCCUUGAUCAUGACAUGUUUUCCGUUAUGGCCGGACCAACAGUUGCUGCUGUUUCUGUGGUUUUUGACAAUGUUGAGCAUGAAGAGGUUCUUACAGGAUGCAUUGAUGGCUUCCUGUCGGUGGCAAAACUGGCUGCAUUCUAUCAUCUUGAUGAUGUUCUCAAUGAUCUUGUUGUGGCACUAUCUAAAUUCACCACUUUGUUGAACACUUCUUACAUUGAUGAUCCUGUAACAGCUUUCGGGGAGGAUACCAAGGCUAGAAUGGCAACAGAAGCUGUUUUCACUAUAGCAACUGCUUAUGGUGAUCAUAUACGCAGCGGAUGGAGGAACAUAAUAGAUUGUAUUUUAAGAUUGCAUAAGAUAGGACUUCUUCCUGGUUGCCUCACUGGCGAUACAACUGAUGAUCAGGAAUCCUCUUCAGAUUCAUUACCCGGCAAACUUGCUUCAUCUGCUCCUCAAGUUUUGCCAAUUAGCACUCCUCGGAAAACUUAUGGACUGAUGGGGAGGUUCAGCCAACUACUGUACUUGGAUGCUGAUGAACCAAGGUCCCAACCAACUGAGGAGCAACUCGCUGCUCAGAGGAAUGCUUCAGAGACUGUAAAGAAGUGCCAAAUAGGUACCAUCUUCACUGAGAGCAAAUUCUUGCAAGCUGAUUCACUCUCAAAUCUGGCAAGAGCCCUCAUUCAGGCAGCAGGCAGACCUCAGAAAAUCACCAGCUCACUUGAUGACGAAGGCAUAUCUGUCUUUUGCUUAGAGCUUCUAAUUACUGUCACAUUAAACAACAGAGACAGGAUUGUUCUUUUGUGGCAGGAUGUUUUUGAGCACAUAACCCAUAUUGUCCAGUCCACGGUGAUGCCCUGCAACCUGGUGGAGAAGGCUGUUUUUGGGCUCCUGCACAUCUGUCAGAGGUUGCUUCCCUAUAAGGCGAACUUGGUAGAUGAUUUGCUGAGGUCAUUGCAGCUGAUUCUGAAACUUGAUGCCCGUGUAGCUGAUGCUUACUGUGAGAACAUUACCUUGGAGGUCACACGGCUUGUCAAGGCCAAUGCGACCCAUAUCAAAUCCCAGAUGGGCUGGCGGACUAUCAUUUCCUUGCUCUGCAUCACGGCACGCCAUCCUGAUGCUUCUGAUGCAGGAUUUGAAGCCCUGGUUUUUAUCAUGUCAGAAGGAGCACACCUCUCACCUGCUAACUUCAUCCUUUCAGUGGAGGCAUCAAGGCAGUUUGCAGAAUCUCGGCUUGGGUCUGCAGAAAGAUCUAUCCAUGCUUUGAACCUAAUGGCAGACUCAGUUAACAGCCUUAUUCGAUGGUCACGAGAGGUUAGAGAAGCUGGUGGAGAGGCAGACAGAAUAUUGGAAGGAAUUGCUGAGAUGUGGCUGCGGCUAGUGCAGGCUCUACGCAAGGUGUGCAUGGAUCAAAGAGAAGAAGUGAGGAACCAUGCGUUGUUAUCGUUGCACAGAUGCUUGGUAGUUGAUGGAAUAUCAGUUAAGUCUUCAACAUGGUUGAUGGCAUUUGACAUUAUUUUCCAGUUGCUUGACGAACUGUUGGAGAUUGCUCAGAGCUACUCACCAAAGGAUUUCAGAAACAUGGAGGUGUCUCUCUUGCAUGCUGUAAAACUGUUAUGCAAGGUGUUCUUGCAGUCACUUAAAGACCUAUCAGGGCAGGGCAGUUUUGAUAAGCUGUGGUUGGAGGUCCUUGACAUGAUAGAGAAGUUCAUGAAAGUCAAAGUGAGGGGGAGGAGGACAGAGAAGCUACAAGAGGCUAUCCCAGAGUUAGUCAAGAACAUACUGAUGGUGAUGAAAGCAAGUGGGAUCCUGUCAAAAACAGGUGCCAGUGAAAACAGUAUCUGGGAAGCAACAUGGCUUCAAGUUAACAAGAUUGCGCCCUCUCUACAAUCAGAAAUUUUUCCUGACAAUGAGGAUGGCAGCACAACUCAAGUUGAAGAAAACAAAUUGGAUACACAAGCGCAAUCUGACAAGAACAAUGAUCAAUAGGACAUUAUACUUUCUUCCAUCCAAUCAAGUUAGUUGCAGCUGGAUUCUUUCAACUUUUUGUUCCAAAACCAUACACAGAUGCGUGGCAGUUCUGUAUGUGCCAUUAGGAAGAGUAAGAUGGUAUAUUGUAAUUUUCUUACUUUAUAUAUAUAAUUUUGUUAUUGACAAGGUUGUUACUUUGGGCUUUAUUGUUGCAACAGCAAAGUUGUAUGAUAAAUAUAGUGUGCUACCGGCCUUGGGGAAUCAAAGCUUUUGGCUGUUUAUUGUUAUGAUCCCAGCACCUGUGUACGGUACUACUGGGGGAAAUUGCUUAAAGCAGUAGGUGCGACCGUGUUAAGGUUUUCCCUUGCCAUUAUCUGGUGUCACAAGGCGUCCAAUACGAAUGUGCUCUUCAGUUACUUCAUAUAUAUGGGUGAUAUGCUGGAUUGCUGGUACAUAUAAAUUUAUCAUUCACCUGUGAAUGUGAAAGAGCUCAAUAAAGAUGCCCUUAUUUUCCUUUGUUUAUUAGAGGCCAGGCAGGAAGGACAAGCAGCUGAGAGCAUGCAUCUUCGUCGCUCCUGCUGCAUCUUUGGUUCUUUUGCUUUAUGUGCCUCCUGCAUUCAUAGGCUCAAAUGAACAUGCGGCGCUGUAGUCAAAAUUUGCAAACACAUUUUUCUUACUGAAAUGCUACUUGUUUUCAGAUUAAAAUAUCAGAGUGGCAAGUUCUGAACAAAUCAGAUUUGGUUUGCAAACUGAAGGAAAUCGCAUACCCUUUCAGCUUCAGUUUGCAGAAUUGGAAGGGUCCAUUUAUUCUGUGGGAAGUCUUGUAGAUAGGAAUGCUAAUAUUCAUCCAUUAGUAAAUAAUCUAGAAGUAUAUUGUUUUUCGUUCCUCAUGGCCGUGUAAAUUAAAGCUUGUUUAUGCUCUUUGGAAUAUUAGAAUUGUAGCAUGACCGCAGAACGCAGAACUUGAAAAAUGAAAUGUGCAUGAUCUCAUUGCAAUUGCUGCAUUAAUGGAUGCAGUUGCUUUCCACUCCUAUAGCAGGCAGCCUGUUUUUUUUCUCAACUCUAGCGUAUAACUCCUUGCUUUUCUUGACGGCACAUGCUCUUGCUUGUGUAAUCCAAUUACUUCCAUGAGUCCCGUGAAGCCAUUGACAGUGUAUGCCUGUAUGAGCCUAAUACCUCUGUUCUCAUUAGUCAUUACUAAAACAAGCUGGGCUGCAGCAAAGCCAGUUGCUGAAAAACCAUAGAUGUGUGGUAAUAAGCUUAUUGGCUGCUAUUCCACGAUUCAGAUGAUUUGACCUUGUAACAAAACCAUGUGACCAUAGAUGUGAGGUUUGUGCAAUCACCAGUUUAUGGAGGUGAUCAUUAGAUUGACUUUUCGUGCUCUUGCAAACCACCCCACCUUUACGUUGACUAGUGCGCGCGCGUGCGGCCGACCUCAUUUUGCCCUCCUCUCCUCCCCGGCCCUCCCGCAGCGUCUCGCGAUCGUGGGCGGCCGGGUAACCUGCGGUGGCUUGCGCAGGCACGCACACAGCAGCACGGGCCGCACACGCUAGCCCCGCCGCGUACGCUACACGUGAGCGGCUACUGACAACGGCGUCCUCCUCCGCUCCGCAACCGCACUUGCUGCACUCCGGUGCCAUGCAUAAACAGACUACUGACGUAGGCCUUGUUUAGAUCCGAAAUUUUGUUUGGAUUUCAACACGGUAGUAAUUUCGUUUUUAUUUGACAAACAUUAUUCAAUUAUAGAAUAACUCGGUUUAAAAGAUUUAUCUUACGAUUUACAGCAAACUGUGCAAUUAGUUUUUGUUUAUAUUUAAUGCUCCAUGUUUGUGCUGCAAGAUUCGAUGUGACGGAAAAUCUUUAAAAAUUUUUGGUUUUUGGUGUGAACUAAACAAGGCCGCGUUCAGUUAGCUAGAAAUAAACCUGGAAUGCGCCUAGGAACCAUUCCAGCUUGAUCAAAGUUAUACAAAUUAAAUUAGUUGAGGGCUUGUUCGAACGGUUACUACGGAAUGGUUCCUAGAACGAUUUCUACAUGAAUUUCUUAGCUAAUUUAUAUAACCUUUGAUCAUUUGUGAGUGUAUUCAUGAAGAACCGAAUAAGCCUUGAACCGUUCCGCUACAAAUCGUCCCAGAUAACCGAACAAGGCCAAUUCUUGUGUGGUGUAAUAUUGUGUAAGGAGAGUAUUGUACAACGCACAAUCUUUCAUCCUUACGAAACAUAGUAGAUAUAUACACAUCUAAUGUGGUCAGUCCUACUAGAAUUUGAAAUGCCUCUUUAGAAAGUCUCGACCAAGUUGAUUUGAUACAAGUCUUAUCUCCUCUCGUGAUAAAGUAGUCCACCGAUCAUAGCUCAUGCGUAGGAUAUCAGGGUUCGUCGUGACUGCUGUAAGUCGUAGGCAGAGCAUUAGACGUUCUUAAUACCCAGGCCUUGUUUAGUUCCAAAAUUUUUUGGGAAAUCGACAAUGUAGCAUUUUCGUUUGUUUGUGGUAAAUAUUGUCCAAUCAUGAACUAACUAGGCCUAAAAGAUUCGUCUCAUCAAUUCCGACUAAACUGUGCAAUUAGUUUUUAUUUUCGUCUAUAUUUAAUACUUCAUGCAUGCGUCUAAAGAUUCGAUGUGACGGGGAAUCUGAAAAAUUUUGCAAAAUUUUUUAGGAACUAAAUAAGCACAACUAGAUUUUUCAAUUUCUCCUAGUAAUGUGGGGUUCUCCUAGUGUUUUAGCAUUUAGAAUUUAGUAUAAACUUUCCCUAGUAAAUGCCUCCUAGUGAGGAUUUCCUAGUGUUUGACUAAUGGUAAUGUUUUGUUACUAACUAAAAACACUAGGAGAACUCCAUCAUUUUAGUAGUGAAGGCCCCACUAGCAUAAAGAAUUCAGGGGUCAGAUGUACGAGACGUCGAUGAGAAGCCUUGACGCGCCGUACGUACGUUCUGUUUUCGCAGCGCGCGGAUCGUCAGUAUAGUUCACACUUCUUCUGCAUGUUCGUUGCACGCAGCUACCAUAACAUGUGUAGCACAAUCGUAAAGGAACAGUAAUACGUCUGUGAUGAUUGAUUUCCAUGAUCUAAAGAUUAAUAACGUCUAGAGCGUUUAAUCGGUCCGCCGGCCGUCCAGUUUUUAAAUUGCUUGUGCCCGCUACCUCCUUUUUUGUUAGUAAAAUGAACGGGAUGUCUAUGUCUCAAAAGUGAAAGGGUCAGGUGAAUUGGAGUUAACACUAAUCGAGGUUGAGCAUCUUUAAGGGUUUUACAUUUGGACUUUACAUUCUUGUAAUUUGCCAAAAAUCGUAAAAAGAGGUAUCCAAUGGUUUUGCAUUUAGAGUUUAGAUUUAGGCAACUUGGCAAAUGAGAGAGCAAAUUUGGCAUAUAUGCCAAGCCGCACACGGCUUGGCAAAAGGCCGAUCACGCGCGUCUCCUAGUCCCUCGCGCGACCCAGACUUUCUUCGCGCCAUAUAUCGCGAUCGCGAGCAACACCGUCGCCGCCAUCCGCUGCAGAACUCGUGAGGGACUCCAUGGCGACACAAAACCGCCGCCUCACGCCAUGAGUUCAAGGACGCCACGAGUCUGAUACGAGUCAUCGCGGCGGCACCUGCAACGAGCGGUGGGGAGUAGGAAGAACUGGCGGCGCGACCUGUAAGGAAAACGCGAGAACCGGCGGUGACUUUACGCGUGCGAAGGAAAGUCGCGCGGGAAGACGAUCGCGAGCACGCGCGAAGGAAAAAAAUUGCGGACGUGUCCACUUUGGCUAAUUGCCAACUCAAUUAUGCAAAACCCUUAGAGAUUGCCUAUUUUUAGACUUUGUAUUUUGUUUUGGGAGUUUGCAAACAACAACAAAUGACAACUCAAUUAUGCAAAAACCCUUGGAGAUGUUCUAAGGGUCUAAGAUAAAUCUAGUCAAUGCUAUCGAAAAUGUGUAGAUAAGUUUAUCUAGUGUUUUUUAAAAGGACAACAAAAGUUUUUCCAUGAUUUUUGUUAGACGAAGAAACAAAAAAGACAAGUGUCAGCCUAGUUUUAUAAAUGAAAACUAAGCUACAAAAACUAUACAACUCUGGAGAGUGCUCCACUCAUCCUGCACAAUUUUGAUACAACUGUCAUAACUCAAACCACCACUUACAACUUGGUUGAAUCGACCCACUAACAAGAACUACCCAACUAAAAACAAAUAGGUCGGAGAAAAAGAACCAACUAAGACACUCCAACUAGAAAAGACAACUUGAAGAACCGAGCACUAUCACUCUUUGAGCAUCGAUCAGUAGAAGAGGUAGAAAAAGGGUGCCUUCAAGGAGGGCACAACAUCCAUAGACGUCGUCGUCCAAGCUUUCUCCCUAACCUUAUGCUACGUCCACAUCCGUCGCUAUCAAAGACCCACAGAGGAAGCCUGACCUAAGGAAACCAACCCAAGCAAGGGGGAGACAGGUGGCAGGGAGCCAGGGAGAAGAGGGCUGGGAUCAGAAGAUGCCCCCAGUCGCCUAGUCCACCACCAUUUCGAGCAAUCCCAGCAUCAAUCCCCGCCAUGUAGAGCCUCUAGCAACCCUCAUUACGAAUUUCCGUCAUCAGCACACAGGAUCUAGUAGGGGAACGUCGGUUUUGACCAAAGAGUCCAAGGGCGACCGACACCGCUGCAUCCAUUCUUGGCCCCACUAGGCCCGAAAGGCGCCGUGGACUAGGUUGCCACCCUGAUGCCAAUGAAGGCCGAAGAGCUCCACCCCUAACCUCUGACACAGAACGCGCGGAGGGGACGGAUUCGUGUGGGGGAUGUUGGAUCUACCUGCCCUCAAACCGGGUGCCAUCCAACCAGGAGAACCACACAAAGCACGUUGCAGGGGAUGCCCACUGCCGAAACCAGCCAGCGAGCAAGUCGAACAGGCCAACGGCGAGGGAAAAAGAAGAAGAUGGGGAGGAGAAGGGACCAGGGUGUUUCACCCACCUAUAAACAAGCAAUAUAUGUCUUUCUUCUAAAGAGGAUACAUUAAAUACAUAAUCCACUAAAUUAGAUCCUUAUUAGCAGUGCCAACUAGGUAGCAUAUGUAAAUAGAUCCUGGUUGUUCAUUCCUUUGGUAACCAAUGUGAUUCUUUGCUAAAGAGAAAUGAUCACUAUAUGUCCGAAUCGUCGUCUCGGCACAACACCUAAAAAUACCACAUCAGUGGCUCUAGUUAACUUAGACCAUCUCCAAGGAUUUUCAAAACCCACUCCGAAUCUUGUUCUUUUUUUUUGGUAAGAUUGAAUCCACACUCGAACAACUCCCAUAUAUCAACUCCCGACCUUUGACACUUGGGAAAAUUGAAUCAAUUAUGUAGAAAUAUAGGCUUUUAUCAAUCGGACAAUCCGAAGGUGGAAGGACAUGAGAAAAAUAAUAGUAAGGACAUGGUCCCUAAUAUAACUGUACACAAGAUUGAGAAAAAAAUAUAAAAGAUGUUGAGAUGAUUUCAAAAUAAUCUAGGAUAACUGAUGGAAAAUGAGUCAGAUGACGAAAGUGAUUGGAAGAACCUACAAUUGUGCUCCCACCUUUUUUAGCCACUUGGAAAUCUCAUUGAUUUAAGAAGUGAUUUUUUUUAGAAACAGUUGGAGAUGACCUUAGUUAGAAGCCUAAAUUCGAGCAUGUUGCAGUUAUUCAGCUAAAUCUGAGCAUGCCACACGGCAAUCGUGGUAGAUUAAAAUGCGAUCGGAGUUUUAAAGAUUAAGAAAAAAAAAUUCUGGCCUCGGCACCGUAGAACGAAACCCCAAGAUUCUAAGUUUACCAAUCAUCGGCAGGGCUUCCAUAUGGCACGAACUGCAAUAUUACAUAAGAUCGCAUUCUGCAACUGCCGGCUGCAGGGUCGCCAGCCGCCUACUCCAUUUCGCCUGGUGGCCAUGUGACCUUGCACCUCUAACACGGCAAGCCCGUCGUACGCGACGAGCCCAACGGCGACCCUUGAUGCCAAUUCGAUCAACCCGGCCGGCUUUCGCCUGCCUAUAAAACGCACCAGCAGUGUCGUCCACCGAUCGACCAAGAAAAACACCGACCGAACAUCCAAGUACAAGUACACCACUCGCUACUCUUGAAAAUUGUAGGUGAUCGACUAUAGCUGGUUCGAUCGAUCGAGCUGAGACGACGAUGGCCGCCGCCGUGAUCUCCAUCUCCUCAAAGGUGGCUGCACUCGCUGCACUGUUCGUGGUGCUCGCCAUGUCCGCCGAGGCGGCGAGCCCCAACGGCGGCUGGCUGGCAGCCAAGGCCACAUGGUACGGCGCGCCCAACGGCGCAGGCCCUGACGACAACGGUACGUGCCUGCGUCCCACGCACACGGUGGGUGUUACAGUACUACCAAUGCCCGUGUGCAUGUCUGACGUUGUUGUGUCUGCAGGUGGCGCGUGUGGGUUCAAGAACACCAACCAGUACCCGUACAUGUCCAUGACGUCGUGCGGCAACGAGCCGCUGUUCAAGGACGGCAAGGGCUGCGGCGCAUGCUACCAGGUAGUAGAGUCUACUCUUCUACAAAUAAAUUAGUUAACCUAGACAUAGUUAACUUGCAGUCCCUGGUCAGUUAAUUUGAUCAUCGCGGUCAACCGUAGCAGUAACCCCUUUAAUAUUCUCGUACCAAUUGAAAAUCCAUCAGAUACGGUGCCUGAAUAGCACCCACGACGCUUGCUCCGGCAGAGCGAAGCGUGUGAUCAUCACGGACAUGAACUACUACCCGGUGUCCAAGUACCACUUCGACCUGAGCGGCACGGCGUUCGGCGCCAUGGCCAAGACCGGGCUGAACGACAAGCUCCGGCACGCGGGCAUCAUCGACAUCCAGUUCAGGCGGGUGCCCUGCAACUACAAGGGCCUGAGCGUCAACUUCCGCGUCCAGGUGGGUUCCAACCCCAACUACUUCGCGGUGCUGGUGCAGUACGCGGGCAAGGACGGCGCCGUGGUGCAGCUGGACCUGAUGGAGACCAGCAAGGCCACCGGCAAGCCGACGGGGGUGUGGACGCCGAUGCGCGUGUCGUGGGGCGCCGUCUGGCGCCUCGACACCAAGCGGCCCCUGCAGCCGCCCUUCUCGCUGCGCGUUCGGAACGGCUCCGGCAAGACGCUGGUGGCCAGCAACGUCAUCCCGGCCAACUGGAAGCCGAUGACCGACUACCCCUCCAACGUCCAGUUCCCUAAUUAGCCGCACGCGCUGCAAUCGCCCAGAUCAUUGUUAUUCGAUCGUCCCAUUAUUAGUUAUAUUGCUUAAUCAUGUGUUGUCGUUCGUUCCAUUAUUUAUGUAUAUGUAAAAAAUGUGUGGUCGUUGUACGUACUACGUGUCUUGAGAUGCGUGGGAUAAUGGAGGAGGCAAUGUGAUCUCCCGCCCACGAUCGCAACAUUUGAAAUAAUAACAUGAUGUUUAUUUACGAGCUACUGAAACUUCGCGCAACAGUGUGUGCACGCACGGCGGAACAGGCUGCUUGUGCAGCAGCUAGCGGAGGCACGCAGCGUACGCUUCACGUGAGCAAUGCCACGGCUCAGGGCUACGGCCGGCCGCAUCCUCUGAUUGCGAUGUUACCUCGCGUUUCACGCAUAGCAUCACAUCUAUAGAGUAAGAUCUUUUGAAACGAAGGGAAAAAAAGAUGAAUUCUACAAGAAAAAAUUUCUAGGAAAGAACUCUAAGAAAAAAUUCUAGGAAUAAAGAAUUAGGUUGCUACAAAUCCUAUGAAAUUCCUAUGGAAUGACUUGUUUCAUAGGAAUUCUGGACAAAUUCUAUUAAUAGGUUGAAAUUGAAGGACGUUUUCUCUCAUCAAAUUAAUUACUUUGUCUUUUACUGCGCUCAAUCCAAACGUUUGAUUGUGUGAGGCCUGUACCAGAGUCAACUUCAUGGUAGCGUAGGCGUUUGGAGGUUGCUUCUGCUUAUAUUGGCACGGGUUUAUUUAAUUGUUUUCAUACAUAACUUCACAGUCAAAUUCAAUAUUUUUUGGUAGGAUUCGUGUCAGCAUGUGUCUCAUUCCAAACACAAGAAUGUAAGUGUAUUUUGUGCUUGGCUGGUUUUAAAAAAUGUGUUGUACAUAAAAAAAUGAUUUAGCUUACUACCCGAGGAAUUCACAAAGGUUUUGAAACAAGGGAGGUUGUUAUCAUGGGUUAAGGCUCUUUUCUAAGCUAAUAAAAUGUUGGCUUUAGCAUAAGAUUUUGGACACUGCUGUAGCAUCAUGAUGAGACAAAGGAGUAUUUCCAGUUAAUUAGCAAGCACAAAACUAGAGACCAUGUUGGAGCCGUUUUCUUUCCAUGGAUGAAAAAUUAAUGGGUAUUUUUUGCAUUUCUUAUUUCCUGAUUCAUCAAUGAAACUAUGUAACAAUGUAAAUGCUGUGUGCGAAGACACAAAAACGGGAAGUCACUUCUAUUUUAUAAAAAAAAGAUCCUCUUUCGCAUGUUUUAAACUUUGUUCAUUUAAUGUCCACCAACUUCUUGCAAAGCUCACACAGGGCAAGGCAAAAGCACGACAUGAUAUUGCUCAAAAAAAGCAGGACAUGAUAAAAAAGAAGGAUACUGAAACGUGCUCACAAAGCAUCCUUGAAAGAUAAGAUGUGGUUCUUCUGUAUGAUGCACAAGAUUUGUUGAAGUAUACCACAAGCCUUGAUUUAUCUUCGAUUAUGAAUUCAUUUCAAAAACAUACCCUCUUGAAUUUUGAAAGUUUUGUGCAAGGGCUAGUCCAUAUAUACAACCAAUGUCUAUAAAAGUAUUUGCAGUUCAAUAAUCAAACUAAGAACCAUGUCCAAAUUGAUUAAGAAAGACUAUUUAACCUAAGCACCAUGUUUAAUUUAAAACCUAUGGAAGUGCGAACAACACACUACAAACCAAAGCAUACUAUGGAAAAAUGAGGCAUGAUAGUAUACACUCCCUCGAGAUGAGAACAUGAAUGGUCAACCAAAUGAUCAUUGUUUUUUCCUUUUUAGUUUUUAUGCAAAACAAUGUAAAUGAGGUGGAUGAAAUUCAAUUUAAACGAGGGAUAUGCAUGAAUCUCUAGCUUUGCCUUUUGUUGACCUGGCACUAAUGAGUGGGGUCUCCCUCUUCUGCAUGGUGGUCCUUGAGGUGCUUGGGAGCGUCGAGUGUGGGUAUGAAGUUUGGUGUGCAUUUGAUCAUCGACAUGGAAAUGGCGGACCCAUGGAUUCAUGCAUGCAUCCAUCUGGACUAUUUUUUUUGAACAAAACAGGGGGGGGGAGAGAUUCCCCACCUAUAUUCAUAUCAGGCUCCAAUCGGAGCAGCAGUGGCAGCAGAAUUACAGGAUGUGAGGUAGCAGUGCCAAACAUUUAGAUUAGCUAUAGCUUGAUCACCUCUAAGACGAUUACACCAUAUUACAAGAUCAUCACAAACUUUGGAGACAAUAGAUCUACCAGUAGGAUUUUCAUUCCUAAAGACUGCAUCGUUUGUUGCAUCCCAGAGCCUCCAGAGAAUGGUCUGUAGAAUGAAGGGCCAAAGCUUGAUGUAUAAACCAGCAGGGGGGGUGAAUUCCCAAGUCUCUGCGUCUGGGAGGGAGGCAACAUCAACGAGGUGAAGCAUGCCCCAGACCUCGGCGCUUACAGGGCAGGUGAAGAAGACGUGGUGUCUGUCCUCAACACUUCUGGAGCACCGCACACAUUCUUCAUCAGCCAGGAUAUGUUUAGCAAAGAGGUUGGCCCGUGUGCUCAGUCUAUCUUUGUAGUAGAGCCAGGAGAAAAUUUUAACUUUGUUCGGCAUGCGCGUGCUCCAGAUGCGAUGGCCAUGGGCAUCCUGUGCAUCCCCCCUAGUGUCUAGGGCGACAUAGGCAGCUCUAGCGGUGUAUCUCUUCCCAUUGAGCUUCAUGAGUCUAAUAUCUGAGGCGUCAUCCAGUGUCAAUCCCUAUAGGCAAAGAAGGAGGGCGGCAAGCUAGGAGCUCGCAGCGUUAGUAAGCCUAGGUCGUAAGCACAAGUCAAAACCCGUUUGGAAAAUGUUUCGAACUGAGAUGUGAGGCCGGGUAGUAUGAGAGAAGAGUGCAGCAUGGGAUAGGUAUAGGGGGCCAUCCAACAGCUAAUGAUCAUACCAGAACGAGGUGGAGGCACCGUUGUGAAUAGGAACAUAAGUGAGGAAGCGAUAUGUGGAGAGUUCAUCAUUAACAAUCUUCUAGAGAUACCCGUCGGCCCCAGCUGCGGAGGUAUCUAAGGACUCAGCCUCAUGAAGGAUCCAAUUUUUCCACGAAGCAUCCUCACUGGAAAACAACUUGUCAAUGAAUUUCAUGAGCAGGCAAUGAUUUUGGAGCUCAAGGUCCUUCACGCCAAUCCCCCAUGGGUUUUGCUAGCACAGAUGUUAUCCCAGGCAACCAAGCAUUUAGAACCAUGGCAGGUAUCUUCACGAGUCUAGAAGAAAGCGCGGCGCCGGUGAUCAAUAGCUUUAAUCACAGUUUUAGAGAUAGACAUAGCCGACAUAUAGUGAAGGGGGAUGGAGCUAAGGACAACAGACGAGAGAACAAGCCAGCCAGCUCUAUUGAGGAGAGCAGCACUCCAACCGGAAAGGUGCUUGUCCACCGAAGAGAUGAGAGGCAGACAAUCAGAGACAUUGAGCUUGCUGGGGGAAAGUGGAAGGCCAAGAUAAACCUGUGGGAAGGUGGAGACAGUGGUACCCAAGUUGGCGGCCACAUCAUUAGCCAACUCAUCAGGGACAACAACUGGCAAGAAUAUAGUUUUGUGGUAGUUAAUAGACAGCCCAGUCGCAUCUUCAAAAACCUUCAGAAUUUGUUUUGUCUAUUGAAUAGCAUCCGGAGAGCAUCGAAGGAAGAUAAGUGUGUCAUCGGCGUACUGAAGGACAGGGCAAGGAGCAUUGGGAAUGAGCGGGUGGUGGAGACUGGUAGCAAGGGAGGAGUGAUGGAGGAGACGGUGGAGAACAUCUGCCACAAUAAUGAAGAGAUAAAGGGGACAAAGGGUUCCCCUGACGAAGCCUAUUUUAGCAAUUGAUCCAUCUCCCAGGAACCCCAUUAAGGAGGACUGACGUUUUACCGGCGACAAGUAGAGUGUGGAUCCGGUGACACCAGGUGACAGAGAACCCCCUGGUACGGAGAAUUUGGAUCAUGCUAUCCCAGUUGACACAGUUGAAAGCUUUAUGGAAAUCGAGCUUGAGGAUCAGUGUAGGAGCGUUAUGACGGUAGCAGCAGUGGAGGAGGUCGGCGGCAUAGGCAAAACUAUCAGCGAUGCAGCGCCCGAGGACGAAGCCGGUCUGGUCAUUGCGACCAAGAGAGAAAUCAUAGGCUGGAGCCUGGUGGUGAGAACUUUGGAUAGGCUCUUGACAGUGGUGUUCUGAAGGGCAAUGGGGCGGAUGUCCCCCGGCUCCGGAGGGUUACUUUUUUUGGGAGGAGAACAAGGUAGAAUCUGUUAAUCCGUUCAAGAUCAGCAGUGUGGUCAUGAAAACCCUAAAAGAGAUCAAUCAUGCUGACGGAGGUGAUCGACCAUGUUGCUUUAAAGAAAGAGGGGCCAAAGCCAUCUGGUCCCAGACUAGUAGUAGAACGCAUGGAGAGAACAACUUUUUUGAUCUCAGCGCUAGUGAAGGGGCUAUCAAGUUCAUCGAGGGGGAGAGGCCCAUCCGGAUACAGAGUGCUCAGCUGGAAGAUCCAAUCAGUUUCACAGACACAACCCACAAGAUUAUGGUAGAACGAAUGUAAGAUAUUCGCCUUCUGGCCAUGAUUAUGGUAUUCACGUCCAUCGUGCUCAACAACUUGAAUUCUAUUCAUGCGCCUUCUCUGAUUAGCACAGACGUGGAAAUAGCGGGUGUUUUCAUCACCACAGAUAGCAGCUCUAACUUUACUUUGUUGAUUCCAAAAAGAAAGCUUGGCAUGUGAAACUCUACUCAGGAGGUUUACAAUAAUGCACCUCAGAUUAGCUUCUGCCUGCCGAAGGGCACGGUGUUCUUCAACGAAGUUGAGAAGGUUGAUGACAAUUCGGUAAUCAGUCUCUUGUUGAGAGAUGUGGGGAAAAGAUUUUCGCCAAGCUCCGAUAGUAGAGCGCGUUGCUUUGAGCCUGCUGGCAAGAAGGGCAGCAGGCACUACUACAAAAUUUAUUAACCGUGACCUUUCAAAGUGUCUUUCGGAGGCGGGCAGGGUUUGCAACCGUCUUGGUUAAUGGUAGUCAUUAACCGAGGCGGUUAUUUGUUAUUAACCGAGGCGGGCAUUUUUAACCGCCUUGAAAAAUCAAUUUAUGGAGGCAGGCGCUUUAAAACAACCGCCUCCAAAAAUAUCUUAUUUUCAGAGAUGGUUGUGUAAUGAUCCUGCCUCCAAAAUUUUGUUUUCGGAGGCGGACGUGCUAUAAUGCCCGUCACCUAAAAAGACUGAGGUCCAGUGAGCCCAGUCGAGCCCGAUAACUGUGUACGUAUAUAUACAGAAACUUAGGGUUUUGGGACUGUCCUCCUCCCUCUCCCUCACACUUCCUACCCAUUCUCCAUCUCUCUCACCCACUCCCACUCAGAUUCAGCCGAGGCAAGGGCCUAGGCGCAAGCGGCACGAGGCUCCUGUGGUGGCAUGGGGUGAGCUGCGCGAGGAGCCCAUGACGGCACAAGGCGUCCGCGGUGGCGCGAGGCGAGCCAUGCGAUGCGAGCGGCCGCGCGAUGUGAGCCGUGCGAGGCGCUAGCGGUGGUGUGAGGCGAGCCGCGAGAGGAGAGCCCAUAUCCACGUGCUUGCCUUCACCUGCUUCCUCUUCUCCAGCCUCAUCGCGCUCUGCCUCAAGCAGCUCGUCCGCACAUACCCGCCCCACCGCCGCGCCCUCCAACUCCGACGCGGGUCCCUCUGGUGGCGGUGCCCCUCCCUCUAGAUCUCGCACGGCGCGGCGUGGACAGCAUGGUUCUGGUGGCCGGGGGGCAGAUCCAUGCGGGGGCGACGCGGUCGCCUCCUCUUCCUCCGGCGUGGCGGCGUGCACGAGAGCCCAGACGAGCUGCGGCGGCGGUGGGUUGUGGAUGGGCUUAGCGGGCCCAUGGAUGGGUUUGCUGGGCUUGUCCAUGGGUUUUGUUUUUUUUUGUUUUUUAUAUCGAUUAACAGUGGCGAGCAGGUAACCACCUUGGAAAAGGUCUUAUUUACUAUGACCUUUAGUUCGAGGCGGUUGGUCUGCCCGCCUUGGUUAAGCACUUUUGCCUGUUUUGGUUAAAAAAUAUUGUAGUAGUGAGCGUUAUUGUUCUCGGUCCGACAACACCAGGCAGUGGUCACGACAUCAUGAAAACCUGGGGAAUGGAUCCAAAAGUUUUCAAUGCGGAAGACCGUGGAUUUAGGAAUGGUAGUGGAGAUUUCAACUUUGAGGGGAACAUGAUCAGAGGUGCUUCUGGUAAGGGAUGAGAGGACUGUGUUGGGAAGGCGCUCGUCCCAGCAAAGGUUAACAAAGGCUAUAUCCAACCUCUCUAGCAUCGGGUUAGCCCUCCUAUUGGACCAGGUGAAGUUCCUGUCCAGAAGUGGUAGUUCAAUGAGGCACAUAUCAUUGAUGCAGUCGUUGAAGGACUUAGCUUCAGAGAAGUGGAAAUUGUUCUUGUUCUUUUCAUGAGCAUAGCGAAUCAUAUUAAAAUCACCACAUAGCAUCCAAGGAGUGCCAUCAGGAGGAGUGAUCAUUCUAAGUUCAUCCAAAAACUCAGGUCUACAUUCCGGGGUGGAGGGUGCAUACACGUUGGUGAUAAGGAAGGAUAGGUUAGUUGCAGUGGAUGACAAAAAACAGACACCGUAUGAGCAGUGGUGGAGGUGGUCAUCGCGGUGAAAAGGGAUUUAGGCCAAGCAGUGAGGAUUCCACCGGCGGCGCCAUCAGUGGGGGAGGAGAAGAAACUGUUGAGAUGGCGUGGGAGGAAGCUAGAGAGCUUAGUGGGAGUAAUGUUGGAUAGCUUUGUUUCUUGGAGGAGAACAAUAUCGGGUUUCGAGGAUAGAAGCUCCAUAAGCACAUCACCACAUUUACCAGAGUCACCUAAACCUCUCACAUUCCUACAACAAACAGUAAAAGUUCUAUUCAUGGGAAAAACUGAUACAAUGUCUUCUUCAGGUAGAGACCACGAACUACUAGCCUGGACUUUACAUUAUUCCUCAGGUUGAGGUAACCUGGGCUUCCGUCAGCUAGACUGGGAUUACAACAAGACGCUGUAGCAGGAAGGACAACUUGAACCAAAGAGAAAAACAGACCAAACAGACAUGGCAGGUGGACCCUUCGCCUAUGAGAAACAAAAUUGGAGGCCACGGGCCUCGCAGCUAGGCGAUGUACAUCAAAGGAACAGGCGGUGGGUUGCACAGGCACUGUGAUCUUGGGGGUUGUCAUCAUUCCUUCACGGCAGGCGACUCCGCCUCACCAGAGAUGGUCGCGAGCUCCUCAGUGGAGGCCCCGCAAGCAUCGGCGAUCUCGUACAGGGACUCGUUAUCACCUCAGGGAUAAAAAGGAUCAGAUAGGAGAUAAGAUCUAGAGAUAGCAGUGCGAAUUCGGUGAGACGCACCCGUGAAGUCAAACUUAGCCUGCUGGACCCGAGUGGCCUUGUCCUCCGGGAGCUCGAAGCAGGGGUCGUCCUUGGCCAAGAGCCUGGAGCUCCUGCGCAGCUUGCGGGCAGUGUCCUUGGCCCGCUUGCGUCUAGCACUCCUCUUCUAGGCGCGGCUCUCGUGUUCCUCCUCCGUGUGCCCACCAGCAGAGAAAGUGGUGGGGGCACAUCCAGGCUCAAGUGAGACAAGGCAGCAGCAGCUUCUUCUUCAUCAACAGUUGGAGCAGGGACGUGCUCCUCACCUGCGGUGUAGUCAUGAUCUGGAACACCACCAACACCAUACCAUGGCAGAGCGAGCAUAGGAUGGUUGUGCUGGGUAGUAGGGUUGGAGUUAGUAUUGGCGGCUGCAGGGUGGGGGGUGGGACGUCUGGUGGUGACUGGGUGAAGUCGUGGAGUGGUGGUGGGGAGUUCCCACUCGAGGAUAGUGGCAGCGAGGUUAUGCGGUGCAGCAGGCAUCUGAGUAGGUGCAUUGCCAAUGGGGUGGUAAUCUGGUGGGGUGUGGAUAGUGGGGUGGGGACCGAAAGUGUGGUCGGUGAAAUCUGGCAAGGGUGGAGCAUCGACCCAGGUAAAAAUGAUGUGGAUCUUAGCAAUGGCAGCAGGCCCGCUAUGGUUGCGCACUAGGAGCUGUUCAGGAACUUCAUGAUCAUGGUCAAGGCGAACCACAACACGCAUGGAAGUGAAAUCAACAUCAUGAAGGCAAUCGGGGUCAAUACAACAAACAUUACCGAUUGCGCUCAGAGCCUCCCUGGCUAGAGACUCGGUCCAGUGCUCGAGGGGGAAGUCGACUGCGGCUAUCUCGGCAUAGACGCUGUAGAAGGCGUAGAAGCGGUUGUCAGCUUCCUCGUGCCACUCCACCGUGAUGGUGUUGCCCUCAAAGGUGAGGGGGACUCGGCCACCACCUGCUCCCUCGCCUCUGGGCUGCCGAACACCAUGAUUCCUAUGCCGUGAGCGGAGGCCGCGAGGUGGAAGGCCGGGGCCCCGCAGACGUUCUGCAUCGCCUGCUUGAUGAAGAGGUGGGGGCUGUGGACCGCCUGUUCGAUGUACACGUAGGCAUACACCCUGGACGCCUCGUACUCGCCAUUGCAGACAUGGGCCUCCACCAUGCCCCUCCGAGCAGGGACCUGGCACGAAGACUCAACCCUAGGAGAUGGGGGUGGGGCAAGCGGCUUAGGGAGAUCGGCUUGGUCAUAGGGAGUGAUGGUGGGGUGGAAAGCAUUGGAGUGGAGGAGGGUGGUUGCAUCGGCGAUCAUGGUGGAGGUGGUGGGGGAGCGCAAUGGGGGGGCGAUCUUUGGUAGAGUGGUAAGACUCGGAGGUGGUACUGGAUCCGGCAGACAUAUUGCGAGUGUAAGCGGCUUUGCAGUGAAAACGUUUGUGACCAGACCGAUAGCACCGGGAGCAUUUUAUAGGGUCCCGACACGCAGAGACGAAAUGGUCUGAAGCGAGACAUCUGAAGCAUCUCUUCAACGCAACCUUUUUUUGCCUCUCAGGAAUAGAGUGUUUUGCCGAGACAGGGAUCGUUGAUCAACUUUGGGAGCCGGAGCAUUGUCGACGCCGGCGAGGUGAGUACGUGUCUGCAGGAGUUGGCACUUGGUAGAAGUGUUGAUGUGGUGGAAGCGGGGGUGAUCACCAGCGGUGGUAAAAGGAGGUGAGUAAGCACAUUUGUCACAAUCACUCGCCAGACAAUAGGCCUGCAUAGUAGGAGGAUGUAGCUGGAAAGAGGCAGGAUGAGUGGGGUUACAGUGAGGAGCGACAUUAAGGAGGUUCUCUGGCACAGAAACAGUGACUGAUCUCAUCUCGCCGUGGUCUUCUAGGUCGCCGUUCAGGCGCUCCAACUUGGCCCAAGCAGAGAAAACAUGCUCAUAAGCUCAUCCCACCAGUGAUAAAAUGUACGUUAGUUGUGAUCAAUAGUUCGGAUGGAUUAGUCACUCUAGAAUAUAUGUAUUUGGCCUUUUAUUCCAUAUUAGGAAUGUGGGUUAUGUUUAUAAUUUAUCUUAAAAGUACACUUUGUUGGUGGUAAAUGUGGUGUAUAACGACCGUCAAUAAUAUUGCCUAAUUGCUUUGAUGUGGUUAGGUCGGUUGAGGAUAGGGCGAAACCUUGUACAGUGACACCUAGAGCCAUUGCUAAUUUCUCCUUGGAGGUAUCCAUUGUGUCCUACCUUGCUUGUGUUCUUUGAGUGAAAACCUACCAUUCAUGGGUGUGCGAUUACAGUGCCAUUGGCAUCGUGAUUUUCCUGAAGACGUUAUCGUAAAAAUCUAGCAGUGGACUUAGGACCUCUUUGAUAGCGACAGAACCCUUUUGUGGCCUAUGGGAAGGCGAAACUGCUACCUUGAUGUGUUAUUGAGCUUGACAAUGAUGACUCAAAGCCAUGUUUUUGGUUGUUGGCAAUGGUUGCCUUGGCUAAUCUUGGAGAUAGCUGUUUUUGGGACUUGGUGGCAUCUUGGUUCCCUAUCUAGGCUUUGUUUCAUACCUUAAAACAUGUUUGAGAUCCAUUGAUGUGAAGUUGGACCUGCUGUAUCGCAAGUGGCAAGCAUGGCAACUAUGACACAGACUGUGUCACCUUCUCUGUAUGUUCGUAAUGUUGCAUGACGUAGUUAGUGGUUCCAUGGUUUGUGGACCAAUUUCCCUUAUAAAUUGGGCUAAUUCUCUUCUUCUUUUUAAUAUGUGCUGAAGCAAUAUGUUUUGGAUCUUAAAAAAUGAAGAACAAUGCUCAAUGGAGAUCACAGAAGUUGACACGAUGCAAAAACUUUGCUCUAGUGAUAAACUAGAGCAUUAACUGUAGAGUUUACUGUGGUCCAACAACCAAAGUGUAUUUGAGACCAGAGAAAAAAGGAUCGCAACUUAGAGGAUUUGAAUAUCGUGGGGGAGAAAACAAAUGGAGGCCUUUGAAAAAAGGAUUGGAUCUCUAAAAUUGCUAUAUGAAAAGCCUGUAAGAUGUUUUUUACAUGCACUCAUACCACGUAUUUGUUACUCCUAUGAAUGUAUGCAUGGAUAUUUUAUCCAUAUGAACAUGUCGUCAUGUCCGACAGACUAAACUAGUAGAUCUUAUAUUGACAAAAUGACAAUAAGUAUCUUGUUGUUAAGGGGCCCAUUGUUUAUCACUAAAAGAAUAUCAUUGUUUCUCGCUGAAACAAAUUUAGAGGAAUGCAAGCAACUAUAUCAAAUUGAUCGAGGACUUGUCACUACAAAAUGGCUUAUUGCAAUAAGUCUUCCUCUAUUUGUCAAUAAAAUAAAUUGUGUAGACUACCUCCAAAUUCAUAUACAAUAAUGUAGUUGAACUACACCAACCAUUGCUGUGCUAUUACUAUCGGUUCAUAACACUAACGUACAGUGAUAGACGGGUUAUCACCACCGGUUCCUGAUGGCUUCAACCGACAGUGAGCUAAUGAUAGUCUAUUUUGCAUAAAAAGUAUGACCUUUUUAUAUGAGGUCGGAUCAAGAUAAACUUUAUAUCAAAAUUAUAGAGUUCAAAGAUAUCUAAAACUUUAUAGUUGGCAACUUUUAAAUUUGAGAUGGUUUCCAUGCUUAAAUAUUCAAUAUAAGUUCUCGAACUAGAUUUGCGAGAUGGUUAACAAUGUUGAAAAGACAAAGUUAACAUCAAAGUUGUAAUACUCGAUGAGAUCUAUAACUUUGCAGUUGCCAACUUUUCAUUCAAGAUAAUUUAGAAUAUCAAAUAUAUAAUAUAAAAUUCAAAAUUGUGUAGUUAAAAGAAUAACAUCAGUUAUAUGGUUACAAGUUUUGCGUAGCUUAGAUGAUAUGGAAGCUCGAGAGGAUUCAAUCGUAGUAAUACUUUGCACUUGAAUUCCUAUCACAAUUACGUUUUCUCUUAUUUUUCUAUUUCUACAUUUUUCCACUCCCCUAAGGAUCAGCAUGCAAGGCAAGUAGGCAACAUAUAUCAAAAGUCAGCCCCGAGUUGUGCCUUGCAUGAUCUAAUAAAGCUUCCAUAUUUAUGGACUUUUCCCGCCACGUUGCAGCUGUAGUUUGUUGCAACAACCAUGUAACAUUCUUUUAAAGGGACAAUGAUUCGGCGAGAAUGCAUAUAUAUAAAUGUUAACAGAGUAUUCAUUGUAACGCGAUAUUUGUUUUCCUGAAAUCAAAACAAGUUAACGCCGUUACUAGCUACGUGGUGGCACAUCUUUUAGCUGCACAGCGGAUGUGUGGACACGACGAAAUAACACGGCACCACGUCGGGUGCAAAGCGCCCAAAGACCUGUUGUGUUUUGAAAAUGCUGAAUGUGUGUCGCCCCUUUUUGCCUGUCUAUAUAUGCGACAUGCCGGCCUCGCCCUGCUCCGGCAAAACCCGAACACGACGACCUUGAGCUGAGAUGGCCGUCGCGAUCUCCAUCAAGGUGGCUGCACUCGUCAUCUCCGUGUUCGCCACGCAUGGCGCUCGCGCGCAGCCGAGCUACAACAACGCCUCCUCCUCCUCCGCCCGCAGAGAGUUGUACUACUCCAGCACCACCGGCGGCAGCUGGCUCCCUGCCAAGGCCACCUGGUACGGCCGGCCCAACGGCGCCGGCCCUGACAACAACGGUGUGUGUGCGCCUGGAAUGCUGUCGUGUUUUCCUUGUGUUUUAAUUUAAUCUGUGUCUUUGCUUUCAUGCACGCCUGAAUAUGAUGUCGAUCGUGGUGCUGAUCGAUAUGUUUCUUUUUGCAGGUGGCGGGUGUGGGUACAGCGGCACCAACCUGUACCCUUUCAAUUCCAUGACGUCCUGUGGCGACAGGAACGUGUUCAGGGACGGCAAGGGCUGCGGCUCAUGCUACCAGGUAUACUACUACGUGAAACAUGCAUAUAGCAGUCCUUGUUUGCUUGCGGUCGACUCGAGCGUUGUGUGUGUGUGAGUGGCGAGUGCGCACGUCUCCCUGCCGAUCGUGUUGCGUUCAGCGUUCAGAGAGGCCGGUGAACCGCGACAUGGACAUGUCUUGAUCCUGAUCUGUUUGGUUGGUCUGCUGCUGCUUCUCAGAUAAAAUGCGUGAGCAGCAACAACCCUGCCUGCUCCGGCGUGCCCCAGACGAUUAUCAUCACCGACGUGAACUACGACACCAGCCUCGGCCCCAACCGUUUCGACCUCAGCGGCACGGCGUUCGGCGCCAUGGCUAAGCCUGGCC